Molecule: non-coding RNA, 113 nt
Organism: Brevibacillus borstelensis AK1
Lineage: Bacteria; Bacillati; Bacillota; Bacilli; Caryophanales; Paenibacillaceae
Source: Rfam
GAGGCUGUAUCGGGUUUCCGACCGGCACUCCCGUAUGUGGGGUUUUUCUUUUCAUUCUGUGUAAUGCUAUGGACAACAAUCUGCUCAGAGCCUGUGUGGACCGAGACAGAAGG